Rhipicephalus microplus (southern cattle tick) is the source of this 196-nucleotide long non-coding RNA. The record is from RefSeq and is a predicted model, not a curated record. NCBI's taxonomy places the organism in Eukaryota, Metazoa, Arthropoda, Arachnida, Ixodida, Ixodidae.
GAGAAAGAUGAAAGACGACUUCUAUGUAUUUUUACCAGAAAUAUCCUCCCUGCUUGGAACCGUUCAUGUGGGCGCAAUGGAUUGGAUAUACCAUACCCGUCGAUCAAAUGGAGAUUGCGAAGAAAACAAUCCUGUGUGGUAUUCCUGCGGUGUCCACAGUACGGGUUGCCCGACAUGCACUGGCAUAUGGUUUGAA